UCUCGGGUAGUAUAGUGGUGAGUAUCCCCGCCUGUCAUAUAGUUAUCAUUGUAGCUAUAAGUAGACCGCGGGAGACCGGGGUUCAAUUCCCCGCUCGAGAG
This is a non-coding RNA of Paraphysoderma sedebokerense, 101 nucleotides long. Lineage: Eukaryota; Fungi; Blastocladiomycota; Physodermatomycetes; Physodermatales; Physodermataceae. The record is from the annotation of a GenBank genome assembly.